This 22-nucleotide microRNA is filed under the name Drosophila mojavensis. Its description in RNAcentral is "Dmo-Novel-3-v2_5p* (star (passenger))". Lineage: Eukaryota; Metazoa; Arthropoda; Insecta; Diptera; Drosophilidae. The record is from RNAcentral.
GCUUUGCCCAGAAGAUCUCACU